RNAcentral lists this unclassified non-coding RNA (161 nucleotides) under soil metagenome. Its description in RNAcentral is "partial internal transcribed spacer 1". The record is from RNAcentral.
CAGAGUUGCAAGACUCCCUAAACCAUUGUGAACCUACCUUCUACCGUUGCUUCGGCGGGCGGGCCCAGCGCCCCCCCCCGGCCCCCCGCGGGCGCCCGCCGGAGGAUACCCAAACUCUUGACAUUAGUGGCCUCUCUGAGUAUUCUUUACUGAAUAAGUCA